Rattus norvegicus (Norway rat) is the source of this 3208-nucleotide long non-coding RNA. RefSeq lists it as uncharacterized. The record is from RefSeq and is a predicted model, not a curated record. Lineage: Eukaryota; Metazoa; Chordata; Mammalia; Rodentia; Muridae.
UUUAAAUCUUUCAGUGCAUAUGGAAAUUUUUACUACAAACCUUUGCUCUCAAAAUGAGCUUUAAUAUUUGGGGAGUAGCUGUUGCACUACUCCAGAAAAGAAUAUUUGAAACUAAUUUCAAGCUUCUAAGGAUAUGUUAAUUGGCUAAGUACCUCACCCUACCAGAGGACUUAGGUCUUUGUUAUGCACAUUGGAGAUAAAGCUUCAGCUGUGUUAAUACAGAAUUGUAGACUAGAGUCAUGGAAGUAUUUUAAAAAGAAACCUGGUGAAACAUAUCUUAUUCUAAACAACAGUUAAUGGGUUAUUACAAAAUACUGAUAUUUGGCCUAUUACAUAUACAAAUUUUUCAGGCAAAAUUGAUAAUUUUACUCUUUGCAUGCUUUUGUACUUCCUGUAUAUUUGUGCAUACAACCCAUAGGAAAUGCGCUUACUGUAUUUAUAGGUGGUUCAUCUAAUGAAAAGGCUACAUGUAUGAUUGGAUCACUUGUUUAUUCUCUUGAGUUUCUGUUGCUUCAGUACAUUAUUAAAUUCCGUGCUUUAGCCACUGUUUUUAAAUCAAGCUUUCAAUUCAUAUACUGAUAGCCAAUGUUUGGCUUGUGGUUUACAAUUGAUUUCAAUUACUUAAUGCUUUAUUAGAGACAAGUUUUCUACAUGAAAUCAGUGAGUGAUGAUUUCAGUAUAAAUUGUCUGACAACUCACUGCCCUUUCAGUGCUCUGGCUCAGACAACUAUACAAAACCAUAGAAAAUGGCGAUAGAGUUGAUAGGAAAAGAGGAAGACUCCAUUUGCUUACUUUAAAUUCCCAGCCUCACCCUGCCACCUCAGGGAUUUCUAGUACGACUAAAUCUAGACAAUAUUUACAGGAUUUGACAUUUCUAAUUAAUGCUUAUGUUUAGGUAAAUAAAGUUUGUGAGGUGCUAGAGAAAUGGCUUAGUGGUUAAGAGCACUAAGUACUGUUCCUUUAUAGGAUAUUUAAGAACUCAAACUGGAUUGCCUGGGCUCUUUAGCAAGGUAGCAAUGAUACCAGACAGACUAUAGGCCUUACAUAGGAACAAUUAGUCAAAAAAAUCUCAUUCUUUAUAUAUCCAAAACAAUAAUGCUGGAGACAAUAAUUUGGUAUACAAGUCAAUUUAUAAAUACAAGUGCUCAGUGUCCUCAAUUUAAUCCUUGAGGAUUUACCUUAAUAAAUAAUAUCUUUACUAUAUCUUUAUAAAUAAAAAGGGGGAGUUAUCCCUGUAUGCUAAAUAAUGCUCCUUUUAUUUCAGUUUUAAAAUUUGGAUGCCAAAGUUUAUGGCACCCUACAACUAGGCAUACUUCUGCCUAGGUGAAAUAGAGAGAUCCACAUAGUGACAUGAUCCUGUCCAGAUAUUUUAUAUGGGGAAGAGGGAAUGUUUGUGUUUUUUCUACAGGAUGCUACAAGAGUGUGCCAGCUGCCUGAGUGGUUGCUGAGACUUGCUGAUCCUGGUUACAUGAAGAUUCAGCUCUCGUGGUUCGGGUCCUUGGAGUCAUCCCUCUGCCCUGAGAGGAAGAUGAAAGAUUCCCCUUCAUCCUUUGUCAUCACAGAGAUUUUGCCGUUACUGCAGUCAGUGUUACCGCUGCGUGUGUCCCGUCCCACUAUGGCCCACUCUCUGACCCUCUGUGCACUGCUGCUUUCUGGAGAAGACUGGACUCCAGCCGUUGCUGCCCCCUUCAUUCCCUGGUGACUCUUGCUGCCUUAACUGGUCAUUUUACAGACUGUAGCUUCACAGGAAUGCCACCUGCGUAAAGCUGCUGUGGACUGGGGAACUCUGCCCUGGUUGUACAGAUCUCAGAAAUGGUUCCAUUGUCUGCUGGUUGUUCCAGAGAAAAAUGACUGAUCCUGAACUGUCCUGGAAAAGACCUUGACACUUUCACUGCUAUUGUAGCAGCCAUUACUGCUGCAGACAUUGUGUCUGCAGUGUCUGGAGUUGUCCUCCCCCAAUCUAUUGUUAGACAAGCACAGUGGGUAAACUUUCUGGAGUAGUUACUAACAAUUGGGAAUUCUAAAUUCUAUUAUAGGAGUGGCUUGACUACGGCCCUUGGUGGUAACAGCUGAGAUGAACCAGAUGAGGUGCCCGCUACUUAUCAGGAGUGACUCUGUUUGGUGCAGCCCUAUGCUGUGGAUUAGUGUUCAUGCUAUGGAGGACAAACACAGAUGCAGGUUUCCAACUCAAAUUACAAACUGAUGAUUUGGUUUAAUAUGGAUGCACAUAUGAAAGAAUCCAUGCAUACACCCAAUCUACAAUGAAAAGGAAAAAGCUGAGUAAAGAAAAACACAAAAUGUACCAUCUAAGGAGAAAAGAAGAAUCAAGAAGAAGAAUUCAGUUAAGUCCUGAGUUCAGAAAGAUAAACAGGUUAAAGAACAGUCUGAUAUCAAAUGAUAUAAAGGAACUGGUGACCUUGGGGAAAGAUCCCACCAGGAGACAGUUGUGCAGCUGACCCUGUGUAGAGGCUUGGAAGGUCAUUGUGUGAAGCUAUGGAGGUGAAGCCUGAAUUGCCUUGGAAUCACCAACAUGGUGGAGACAACACAGCCAUGAGACACCUGCCCAAUAAAGCUGCUAAUGGAAUGAAAACAACUGGAAGAGAGAGAUGAGGAUGCAGGACCCUCAGCUACUUCUCUAGGACCAUGUCUGCCUGCAUACCAGCAUGCUUCCCACCACGAAGACAAUGGACUAAACCUUUGAAAGUCAGGAAACAGGUGCAGUGAAGUCAAUCCUCAGUAACUGGAGAAUUGAGUAAGAAUUCAGGGCUGGGCUGGAGAGAUAGCUCAUCAGUUAAGAGAACUGGCUGCUCUUCAAGAGGUCGUGAGUUCAAUUUUCAGCAACCUCAUGAUGGCUCACAACCAUCUGUAAUGGGAUCCAAUGUCCUCUUCUGGAAUGUCUGAAGACACCAACAGUGUAUACAUAAAAUAAAUAAUAACCUUAAAAAAGAAUUCAUGGUCACAUGUUCUACCUAUGUCACACAGCGAACAUGUACUAACUUUAAUUUUCCCGUAAUUAAAAACAUUCUUAUCCAAACAAACACUUCAUCUGAUACAAGUUAUUUUAUCUUAAAAAUGGAGAUUGUUAAUGUCCCAAAUAUUUAAAAAUAUUAAGUUCCAUCUUUUUUUUUUAAUUUUUAUUUAUUUUUUUCCAUCUUUAUUAACUUGAGUAUUUCUUAUUUACAUUUCGAUUGUUAUUCCCCUUCCCGGU